This 344-nucleotide ribosomal RNA is filed under the name Colophon izardi. RNAcentral's name for it is "partial 16S ribosomal RNA". The record is from RNAcentral. Lineage: Eukaryota; Metazoa; Arthropoda; Insecta; Coleoptera; Lucanidae.
AUGGCCGCGGUAUUUUGACCGUGCAAAGGUAGCAUAAUCAUUAGUUUUUUAAUUGAAAGCUGGAAUGAAUGGUUGGACAAGAAAAUUUCUGUCUCUAUGUAAAAUUUAGAAUUUUAUUUUUUAGUUAAAAAGCUUAAAUUUUUUUAAGGGACGAGAAGACCCUAUAGAAUUUUAUAUAUUUAUAUGUUUUUAAUGAUUGGAUUUUUUAUUUGAGGAUUAAUUAAAUAUAUUUGGUUGGGGUGAUUGAAAAAUUUAAAUAACUUUUUUUUGUUUGUUUCAUUGAUUGAUGAAUAAUUGAUCCAUAAGUUGUGAUUAUAAGACUAAAUUACCUUAGGGAUAACAGC